RNAcentral lists this ribosomal RNA (1474 nucleotides) under metagenome. RNAcentral's name for it is "bacterial SSU rRNA". It matches the Rfam family "Bacterial small subunit ribosomal RNA". The record is from RNAcentral.
GUUUGAUCCUGGCUCAGGACGAACGCUGGCGGCGUGCUUAACACAUGCAAGUCGAACGGUGACGAGGAGCUUGCUCCUCUGGUCAGUGGCGAACGGGUGAGUAACACGUGAGCAACCUGCCCCAGACUCUGGGAUGACAGUUGGAAACAGCUGCUAAUACCGGAUACGAGACGGAGAGGCAUCUCUACCGUCUGGAAAGUUUUUCGGUCUGGGAUGGACUCGCGGCCUAUCAGCUAGUUGGUGAGGUAAUGGCUCACCAAGGCGACGACGGGUAGCCGGCCUGAGAGGGCGACCGGCCACACUGGGACUGAGACACGGCCCAGACUCCUACGGGAGGCAGCAGUGGGGAAUAUUGCACAAUGGGCGAAAGCCUGAUGCAGCGACGCCGCGUGAGGGAUGACGGCCUUCGGGUUGUAAACCUCUUUCAGCAGGGAAGAAGCGAAAGUGACGGUACCUGCAGAAGAAGCACCGGCUAACUACGUGCCAGCAGCCGCGGUAAUACGUAGGGUGCGAGCGUUGUCCGGAAUUAUUGGGCGUAAAGAGCUUGUAGGCGGUUCGUCGCGUCUGCAGUGAAAAUCCGAGGCUCAACCUCGGACUUGCUGUGGGUACGGGCAGACUAGAGUAUGGUAGGGGAGACCGGAAUUCCUGGUGUAGCGGUGGAAUGCGCAGAUAUCAGGAGGAACACCGAUGGCGAAGGCAGGUCUCUGGGCCAUAACUGACGCUGAGAAGCGAAAGCAUGGGGAGCGAACAGGAUUAGAUACCCUGGUAGUCCAUGCCGUAAACGUUGGGCGCUAGGUGUGGGGCUCAUUCCACGAGCUCCGUGCCGCAGCUAACGCAUAAGCGCCCCGCCUGGGGAGUACGGCCGCAAGGCUAAAACUCAAAGGAAUUGCCGGGGGCCCGCACAAGCGGCGGAGCAUGCGGAUUAAUUCGAUGCAACGCGAAGAACCUUACCGAGGCUUGACAUAUACCGGAAACAUCCAGAGAUGGGUGCCCCGCAAGGUCGGUAUACAGGUGGUGCAUGGUUGUCGUCAGCUCGUGUCGUGAGAUGUUGGGUUAAGUCCCGCAACGAGCGCAACCCUCGUUCUAUGUUGCCAGCGCGUAAUGGCGGGGACUCAUAGGAGACUGCCGGGGUCAACUCGGAGGAAGGUGGGGAUGACGUCAAAUCAUCAUGCCCCUUAUGUCUUGGGCUUCACGCAUGCUACAAUGGCCGGUACAAAGGGCUGCGAUACCGCGAGGUGGAGCGAAUCCCAAAAAACCGGUCUCAGUUCGGAUUGGGGUCUGCAACUCGACCCCAUGAAGUCGGAGUCGCUAGUAAUCGCAGAUCAGCAACGCUGCGGUGAAUACGUUCCCGGGCCUUGUACACACCGCCCGUCGAGUCACGAAAGUCGGUAACACCCGAAGCCGGUGGCCCAACCCUUGUGGAGGGAGCCGUCGAAGGUGGGACUGGCGAUUGGGACUAAGUCGUAACAAGGUA